UGGGGAAUUUUGGACAAUGGGGGAAACCCUGAUCCAGCCAUCCCGCGUGUGCGAUGAAGGCCUUCGGGUUGUAAAGCACUUUUGGCAGGAAAGAAACGUCAUGGGUUAAUACCCCGUGAAACUGACGGUACCUGCAGAAUAAGCACCGGCUAACUACGUGCCAGCAGCCGCGGUAAUACGUAGGGUGCAAGCGUUAAUCGGAAUUACUGGGCGUAAAGCGUGCGCAGGCGGUUCGGAAAGAAAGAUGUGAAAUCCCAGAGCGCAACUUUGGAACUGCAUAUUUAACUACCGGGCUAGAGUGUGUCAGAGGGAGGUGGAAUUCCGCGUGUAGCAGUGAAAUGCGUAGAUAUGCGGAGGAACACCGAUGGCGAAGGCAGCCUCCUGGGAUAACACUGACGCUCAUGCACGAAAGCGUGGGGAGCAAACAGG
Molecule: ribosomal RNA, 429 nt
Filed under: Acidobacteriota bacterium
Lineage: Bacteria; Pseudomonadati; Acidobacteriota
Description: Acidobacteria bacterium partial 16S ribosomal RNA
Rfam family: Bacterial small subunit ribosomal RNA
Source: RNAcentral